Molecule: ribosomal RNA, 380 nt
Filed under: uncultured crenarchaeote
Lineage: Archaea; Thermoproteati; Thermoproteota
Description: bacterial SSU rRNA
Rfam family: Archaeal small subunit ribosomal RNA
Source: RNAcentral
UAAAACCAGCACCUCAAGUGGCCAGGAGGAUUAUUGGGCCUAAAGCAUCCGUAGCCUGCUCUGUAAGUUUUCGGUUAAAUCUAUAUGCUCAACGUAUAGGCUGCCGAAAAUACUGCAGUGCUAGGAAGUGGGAGAGGUAGACGGUACUUGAUAGGAAGGGGUAAAAUCCUUUGAUCUAUCGAUGACCACCUGUGGCGAAGGCGGUCUACCAGAACACGUUCGACGGUGAGGGAUGAAAGCUGGGGGAGCAAACCGGAUUAGAUACCCGGGUAGUCCCAGCUGUAAACGAUGCAGACUCGAUGAUGCAUUGGCAUAUAGCCAGUGCAGUGUCGCGGGGAAGCCGUUAAGUCUGCCGCCUGGGAAGUACGUACGCAAGUAUG